Molecule: unclassified non-coding RNA, 416 nt
Filed under: Correa alba var. alba
Lineage: Eukaryota; Viridiplantae; Streptophyta; Magnoliopsida; Sapindales; Rutaceae
Description: partial external transcribed spacer
Source: RNAcentral
GUGCAUCGAACUGCCAUCUCCCCAUCCGUUUCAGUUUUUCCCCAAGCGAAUCCUACUUCCUUGCGGGUGUAUAUGGUAUCCUGUGUUGCUUACCCACGAAAUGGAAUUUGAUGGCUUUGUUGCGAUUAUCCAUCAUGUGCCCUUUAGGGUGCGGGGUGGACAUGAGGCAGGCUCUGUGUUCCCAGUGUGCAAAGUGGGUUAUCGCUUUGGCCGCUGUGGCCCAUAGAGUCUUGGCUUGUUCUCUCGGAUGCGGAAUGCUAUGCAUGGGCGUGAGGUCUCAACCUCGAUUCGUCCAAGCACUGUCCCUAAACUCGAACGAUUGUUGUGCUCGUCUUUGAACUUCCCGACCAAGGCCUCGUAAUGGGGCUUACUGGACGAGGGUUGUUCAUGCGGGCAUCGACGUCGAAGAGGAAUGC